CAAACAUGGCGGACAUGAGAAUGCAAAUGAGGAAAUUGCUGUACUAUUUGCCUGUGGAACAUUACAUUUGUGAAUGAUUUUAUGCCCAAUUGAUCACUGCGUUGUAAUAAGGACUUUUCCUUGAAAACGAUAUUAUUUAUCAUUUUAGCUGGCGACUUUCCCUUCGACUUUCCUCUGCAGGACCUCUCGAAAUUUAUAGAGUUAAGCUUGCUUGAGUGCUGGUCAUUGAGAGAACUCGAGUUUAUUGAACAUUCAAAAAAUGAUUUAUUUUUAAUGGUUGAAAAUAUAUGUCUGGUGUUGGAUGUAUAUCAUGAACAUGCUGCCUUUUUGUAGUUCAAAAGAAAUGUAUGCAAG
Non-coding RNA from Paramuricea clavata, 354 nucleotides. NCBI's taxonomy places the organism in Eukaryota, Metazoa, Cnidaria, Anthozoa, Malacalcyonacea, Plexauridae. The record is from the annotation of a GenBank genome assembly.